This 72-nucleotide transfer RNA is filed under the name Membranacea stenoprocessa. RNAcentral describes it as "tRNA-Lys". Lineage: Eukaryota; Metazoa; Arthropoda; Insecta; Hemiptera; Cicadellidae. The record is from RNAcentral.
CAUUAAGUAACUUAAAUGCAAGUUUUGGUCUCUUAAACCAUUUUUUGGUAAAUUAGCGAUUACCCUUGAUGA